Molecule: long non-coding RNA, 6119 nt
Organism: Dromaius novaehollandiae (emu)
Lineage: Eukaryota; Metazoa; Chordata; Aves; Casuariiformes; Dromaiidae
Exons: 2
Source: RefSeq, a predicted model, not a curated record
GAUGUCUGCGAGGAAGCCCGUGCAAGCCGCGACUGGAAAGCCGGCGCAGAAAGGGCUCUGCUUUCAUCCUCCAGCCCAGAUUUUCCAAAAUCUGGAACGCCCUCUUUGCUCCGUGCCCGCGGUGAGGAAUUCGGGCUCGGGCUGCUUGAGCGUUUGCCUCGCUCCCCCAGUGAUGCUGGCUGCUCUCGCUGCUGCCAGCUCGGCUUCUCAGCCGUGAUGUUUCCGCCAAGGCGACCGCCUGAGUGGCUGAUUGGGGAAAACGAGGAUGCAGCCGAAAAAGCCGUGAGCAGACAGCGUGGUGUCCGCAAACUGCUGCCCCAGAAAAAUCCACCAGCGAGCAUGAGAUGACUCAUCCCGGCUGCUGGGGAAGCUGCGCGCUUGUAACCUCGGUCCUUAGCUGCUGCGCCGAGCCCGCCCGUGCCAGGCAGCAGGGCUUCGCGGCUGCAGCUCGCUCUGCCUCCCCAAAAUGAGCCUGGCUUCAUGCAGGACAAGUCGCUCCCUGCGCAAGCCCACAUCUCCCAGGGACGCCGUGGUCUCUGGCCGGUGCCGGCCCCACCGGAGCAUCUUCUUCCUGCAGCACGGCCGGUGUGUGCGCGCGGGGUGGACGAUGGUGUGGGUGCAAGGCCCUCUUUCCGAGGUUUUCACUGCUUCUUCAAGAGGACGUUCAUUUUUUGAAGAUCUGUCUCUGCCCCUGUGCAUAGUGCUGAUCCUGGCUACCUCAGCCACAGGCCCCAGCUGAACAGAGAGCUGGACUCCUUCCAAAAUAGCUGUCGUUUGGUUUCUCUUAUGACGUUGAUCUUAGUUUCUCAAGAGGCUGAAUUCCUGCCAGCGUGGGCAAGCACUGCCGAGAUAACCCCGUCCCUAUAAAACGCAAGGUGAGCUCCUGCUAACCAGAGAGACUCUUGUAAACACCAGAACAAGGGACUUGGCACAAGGCAGACAUGAAAACAAACUUUGGCUUUCACUUCAAAAGCCUCAUAGUUUAAAAAGCAGUUAUGAUGCAAGUGUGUAUGUAUGUGUGUGUGUACGGCAGCGGCGGUUCCUGUCGGAGGGAGGGGAUGUGCUGGCCGUCCCACAGAGGCAUUCGCGGGCGGCUUGGCAACUUCGUUAUGAAUUAGUGGAUGCAAGCCCAGGGAAAAGUGCAUCCUGCUCCCAGUGCUGCGCUCGAAUCCUGCCUCCUCCGGUGGGAACGGAGCUGGCCAAAGGGCUGCCUGGCACAGCGGUACGGGGGGAGAAAGAAAACAUCCUGCUUUGUUUUCUCUCUGUACUGCAGUAUCUGCUUUGUUCGCUGGGCCUGGCCACUGAAAGUCCAGCGGUGGCAGGGCAGAAAUGUGCAGCGUCGGCUCUGCUGGGACACGGUGCAGUCAGGAUGAGUAACCAGGCUGAAGCUGUGCCGAGAAAAGCUCUCAUCCCAAAUGUAAAAAGCAGCCCUUUUCCCAUCGCUGCAGUUUCCUAACAAAUUUGUAUAUGCAGGGCAGACUGCAGGACUAGCUGCAGCUUGUAUCCCCUGGCCUGAAAUGCUCUGAAUAACUGGCCCUUUCUUACUAAGAAAGAAACAAUAACUUUGGGCUGUUUUGUUUUCCUGACACGCUGAUCCCAGUGAACCGUGUGUUUCCGGGUGCGAGCUCAUCUUACAGCAGACCCCGGGUCGCAGAAACUCCUAAUCCCUUUACAUCGUGCCGGGUUGGGGACAGUCACACGCCUGCUACAGCCCAGGGGACAAGAGAAGCCGGACAGCCAGCCGGCCUCCGGCAGCAGCUCUGCCCGAGAGGUCCCUCUGCGCCCUGCAGCUCGGCCAGGAGCUCACGUGCUGGCAUCUGCGCUUUCGGAAGUCGGAGAGAUUUUCCUGGAAGCAGGCGCCCAGGACGUCAGGUGCACUUGUUCGUGUAAGGGCAAGGUGAGGCCUGGAGAAAGGCAGCAUCUUUUACUAGACCGACUCACAAAUCUGGAGGCCAAGCUUGCAGCAGGCACUUUGUGUGCAUGUGCAGCUCUUCCCUGCAGCUCAGCUCUCUGAUUGCAGACAAGAUUGGUUCAGGUCUCUCCGGAGAAAUCCUUUUCUGGGAAUUGCAGCCUCAGGAUUGCCCUAUCCACCCGGACAGAGGUCACCAGCUCUGCAACAGGAGGUAGGUUAAACCACAAACUCUUGGAAGGGAACUGCAGGGAAAGACCCUCCGCUCCCCCGCGGCGCCCUGGAGCUUUGCUCUGAGCAGAGGUUUCGGCUGCUGGGACACGGCUGCCUGGGCGAGGACAUGGAGUAUCGUGGACAGCUCGGAAGAGACCACGUACCGACUUCACCAUGUCCAGCGUUACAUCUCUAGGCAUUUGUUGGGGUAAAGGAGGUGAGAAAACCUUCUGAGGUGGUCACAGCCUUGUCCUCCAAGCAGGAGCGGGCGAGGUGCAGAGCAUUCAGAGCAAGAUAUUCCCCUCGCACUGGUAGCUGGCAGGAAGGACACAAGUUUUUCCUAUUAUAGCUCAGUCAUGGGACUAAUAAAGCCUCUUUAAUCAUUUUCGUUGCUUGUGCACACACACGCACACAAGGGCGUGCUCUGAGCUAAAGUGCAGAGGGAGCCAACACCUGGCAAAGUCAUCACUGGCCACUUCAAUUCAUUUCUAAUCUGGCAUUUGAAAAAAAAUACAAACCGCCACCAAUAAAACAACUCGGCCCACGUGGUAGGAAAACUUCACAGGCUCCGAUGGACGUGUGCAGGGCUCGGCCACUGCCGGCAGAUCACAGCCGCCCUCUCCCAAGAUGAGCUGCUGCCGCCCAGGGCGCCCAGCUCCCACCCGCGGAAGCCCAGCGGAGCUUGUUUUCUCGCCUGGAUCAGAAAGCCUGAGGCCAUCAGCAGGGUUCGAACCCCCCCAGCCCUGCUGUGGGCUGGCAGGUGGAGCUCCAUGCCUCACUACCCGUUCUCCCAAAUUCCCCCAAAUUGUCCCUGCAGAAGUUAGAGAUUUUGCGGCAGUCGUUGCAGGGGGAGAGGGUGUCCCAGCUGCCGACAGCCUUUGCGUGCAAAGACGUUUGCAAACCGCAGGAAUGGCUGUGUUGGCAAGGAAGCACCUCCUGCUUGUCUCCUUAAAUGUCCUCCCACAGGUUCAGACAAAUGGGCCAUAAAGCAAGCGUGGCCCACGGCAGCCGUCAGCACGGACAUCGGGCCGCCCCGCUUCGCCCCCGCUCAGCUUCAGCUCCUCUGGGAGAAAAACACCCCGUCUCAGCUUAGAUAUUUCUGAUGGACCGAGUGUUUAUUACCUCCUUUCCAGGCUGAAGCUGUGUCCCUUUGAUACCUGCCCAUCGGAUCUUAUCCUACUUCUGCCUGUCAGACUGGAUAACUCUUUCACUUACACUCCCUGUACAAAGGCUGGGGAAAGACUUUAGGGAUUUUCCCACUAAAAUAAGGCUGAAAACCAUGUUUCUGCCAUGGCUUUCACAUUCUCUGCUUGCCAAGACAGGGAGAGCCUCCCAUCCUAUAAAUACUGCCUUCCCGUUUCAUUCCUAGACACAGGGCUCUUUAUGCGGUUGUACUGAAAAACGCAUUUUUGGCCUACAUUCAGCUGAGUGAUCUGACUUACUUUAUAACAUCCAUUUACAAAUGUUUUCAAAAGGAUUUUGUUGUUUUCACUGAACAGGUAAAAUUGGGGAGGCUCAAGAACCAGUUCUGGUGCAGCCCCCCUGGAAAGGCGAGUGCAUGACAGCAGUUCCUCACUUACAGCUGCAUUUCCAAGCCCAUAACCAGCUAGAUUUGAUCCCAUAUCAGGUGGGCCUUCGAGUUUUUGCAUCAUUAGCAUUUAUCAGUCUAAGCAACAGAUUCCACUCCACCUUCGUUUGUACCAUGGCCACAGGCCAAGUCAAACCACACUACCGGGCCUAUUACAUUGACAGUAUCAUCUUUAUCACCCCAAAUUCUAACCCCACUGAAAUGGAGAAGUUAUUUAGCAGAGGUCUAUUUUCACCAUCUUCUGGGACUGGCAUUAAUUACCCUCCUCCUUUAAUUAACUACAAGUUGCUUUGUACAAAAGCUGUUUCAGUAUUUCAGCUGUGAUGGAUGUUAGGCUGGCAGCCUUCGAAUUACCCGAGGGGCCUUAUUGGCCUUUUUGAAAUACUGGCUUCUUUCUAAACCUCCUCCCGGCCUGUGACACAGGAGGAGGUUUUGAGGCAGGGAGGCCAAAACGCCCACCCUGCCUUUCGCGGCCCAGCUCCACACACAUGCACGAAGGGGACGGGGCAUCGGUCAUCGCUGGUCUGACCUACUCCAGGCACGUUUCCCUGCGAGCGGACCCAGAGGGGUGCUGCGGUUUUGUGGUGUGGAUAGACAUCUCCCGGCGUCUACCCUGGAUUCCUCCAAUUCCCUUCCUUCGUGAGCGGAGCAAGGAUUUGAGCUCAGGCCUUCCCAAGUGCUGCUCUCGAGCGUUAAUCCAGCGGGGUGCCUUUGUUUCCAUGACCCUGCUUCCACUCUCAGCAAUAGACUCCACUCCAGCCUCAUGAACUAUUCCAGAUGUUUUGGAAACCCCCUUGCUAUUUGGUAAAAGCUCCAGAAAAAAAAGAAUUCCUUCCAGCAGCCAGAUAUAAAGGAGGAGGGGGAGGAAAGGAGAGGAUGUGAAGAGCAGAGCCAGAGCCUGGUAACCUCUCCCUAGGCUACGAUUUGUAUCGAGCAGAAAACUGGAUUGAUGAAGUGCUCAGGCAGAUUAGAGGUACCAGAAGGCUCUCUGAGGUGUGGGCUCAAACGCUCCCUCCCCAUCCAUGGGAGCUUCGCCUCCGACUGCAGUAGAUGAGCAUUUCCCUCCUCGCCUGCUUUCAGGGCAGUGCUGUCACCGUGGAGUUGGAAAAUCAGCAGUUUGUCACGGUGGGAACAUGGAAGAUGGGUUGAGGCAGAAGCAGCAUGUUCCUCACCUCUGCACCUCCUUCACUGGCAGUGGAAUAGAGUCAGUGGUGGAGAUCGCAGAUCUGUUCUCAGCACCUGAACAUGCUGUGAUGUCUCUUGAGCUGGUGCCAAGAUGCAGACAGGGCUUCAACCCUGCAUCAGAGAUCAGCCCUACGAGCAGGAGAAUUUCAAUUAGGAUAUAGACGGGUCUGGUCUGAACCCUUCCUGGAUUAAACUCUUUUCCUGCAUGUGGGCAUCCUUCUGCACCGCGCUCCUGGUGCCAGUUUAUAUCGCUUCCUCUUACUGAAAUCUCACACAAAUAACUGCUCGGUUUACAAAGCAUCCCUCGCAUCCCCAGCUGAAAUUCUCACGCUCUGCUCAGCUAUAUCUGUAACUAUAUAUAAUUAAAUUAUAUAUAAAUACAACACCAGAAAUAAAGAAGGAUUGAAUCACCACCCUGGAUUCAAACUCCACCCAAGUCAAGAGACAUUGGAAGCUGGACCUGCCUCCAGACUUUGUGGCUGGAGCCCAUCUGUAACUGUAAAAGCCAAUAUGAAAAUAAAGAAGAAACCAAAUAGCAUGGCAUCUUCUUGCUUUGACCACAGCCUCCCUGGGGCAAGGGCUGACUUCUUCUUCUUCUCAAAAAGAACAAUUUCACUGUCUGCAAAUUAGGACCUGGAGCGGGAACUGGGGUCAGGCCUGUGCCUUUGUGGAAAGGGGCAGAGAGGACCAGAGCUCCCAGGAGAAUAUUUGGGCUUGUUUCAUCUGGACGAGUGGGGAGCAGGAAGGGCAGCAACAAAUGCGGCUACAGGGAAGGUUAUACUUCCCCUUCUUCAUUCCCCAGCUCCACCACACGCCCUCAUGUCUCCCCCAGCUUUGCUAUCCCAGAAAUCUGGUGCCAUCAGCAGUCAUCUCCUUGGCUUCCCCUGGUCCAGCCCUGUGCUCCGGGAUGCUACCAUGAGGCAACUAUUCCUGGUAGUGAGCCCUACACUGCAGCAUGUUUAAGGGGUCCUGGGAGGGAUGGGAUGAGAGGACCUAGGCCAAGGAUUUAGGCAUUUGGCCAAGAAAACCUUCCAGAUCCUAGGCAGGUCAGGGAAUGAGAUGGGUUGGGGUUUAGUAGGCCGUCUGGUCCUUUUAUGCUGAAGAGAGGUCUAUCCUUGCCGUUGGAUGCAAGACGUUGAAAUUCAGUAACUCGAAGUUGCAUCUCUCAGUUUGAGCUCUCCUGGUCACAUCAGGAAACAAAUGCAUUUGGUUCUCUAAAUGGGA